AUUUAGGUAGCUUAAAUUUUAAAGUUUUACGUUGAAAAUGUAAAGAUGAAUUGUUAUUUCUUAAAUA
This 67-nucleotide transfer RNA is filed under the name Symplanella brevicephala. Its description in RNAcentral is "tRNA-Phe". The record is from RNAcentral. Lineage: Eukaryota; Metazoa; Arthropoda; Insecta; Hemiptera; Caliscelidae.